CCUACGGGUGGCAGCAGGGAGGAAUAGUGGUCAAUGGGCGCGAGCCUGAACCAGCCAAGUCGCGGGAGGGAGGACGGCCCUACGGGUUGUAAACCUCUUUUGCCGGGGAGCAACGGGCGCCACGUGUGGCGUCACGGAGAGUACCCGGAGAAAAAGCAGCGGCGAACUCCGUGCCAGCAGCCGCGGUAAUACGGAGGAUGCGAGCGUUAUCCGGAUUGAUUGGGUUUAAAGGGUGCGUAGGCGGAUCGUUAAGUCAGUGGUCAAAUUGAGGGGCUCAACCCCUUCCCGCCAUUGAAACUGGCGUUCUUGAGUGGACGAGACGUCUGCGGCAUGCGUGGUGUAGCGG
RNAcentral lists this ribosomal RNA (346 nucleotides) under uncultured bacterium. Its description in RNAcentral is "partial 16S ribosomal RNA". It matches the Rfam family "Bacterial small subunit ribosomal RNA", at positions 338 to 681 of the family's 1533-position model. The record is from RNAcentral.